Molecule: unclassified non-coding RNA, 354 nt
Filed under: soil metagenome
Description: partial contains 5.8S ribosomal RNA, internal transcribed spacer 2, and large subunit ribosomal RNA
Rfam family: 5.8S ribosomal RNA (bases 1-120)
Source: RNAcentral
GAUGAAGAACGUAGCGAAAUGCGAUAAGUAGUGUGAAUUGCAGAAUUCAGUGAAUCAUCGAAUCUUUGAACGCACAUUGCGCCUUCUAGUAUUCUGGGAGGCAUGCCUGUUUGAGCGUCAUUAAACCUCUCUCAAGUAUGAUUACUUGGAUGUGAAGGAAGAGUACCUUAAACUUAAGGAGUGUUCUCCUUUGAAAUUGAUUAGCAGAUGGUAAUGUUAUUAAAUCCCUGAUGUUGUAAGAAAUAACAGUGGUUUUGUAGACUAUUAUCUAGCUUUAAAUUAUAAUUUUUAUUAUGGUUGACCUCAAAUCAGGUAAGGAUACCCGCUGAACUUAAGCAUAUCAAUAAGCGGGGA